GAUGAACGCUAGCGGCAGGCUUAAUACAUGCAAGUCGAGGGGCAGCACGGUUAGCAAUAACUGGUGGCGACCGGCGCACGGGUGCGUAACACGUAUACAAUCUACCUUAAACAGGGGAUAGCCUUUCGAAAGAGAGAUUAAUACCCCGUAAUAAAUUGAACGGCAUCGUUUGAUUUUGAAAGCUCCGGCGGUUUGAGAUGAGUAUGCGUCUGAUUAGCUAGUUGGUGAGGUAACGGCUCACCAAGGCGACGAUCAGUAGGGGAUCUGAGAGGACUAACCCCCACACUGGUACUGAGACACGGGCCAGACUCCUACGGGAGGCAGCAGUAAGGAAUAUUGGUCAAUGGAGGCAACUCUGAACCAGCCAUGCCGCGUGCAGGAUGACGGCCCUAUGGGUUGUAAACUGCUUUUAUACAAGAGAAAACCCUGGUACGUGUACCAGGUUGAUAGUAUUGUAAGAAUAAGCAUCGGCUAAACUUCGUGCCAGCAGCCGCGGUAAU
RNAcentral lists this ribosomal RNA (500 nucleotides) under uncultured bacterium. Its description in RNAcentral is "bacterial SSU rRNA". It matches the Rfam family "Bacterial small subunit ribosomal RNA", at positions 28 to 524 of the family's 1533-position model. The record is from RNAcentral.